RNAcentral lists this long non-coding RNA (540 nucleotides) under Parus major (Great Tit). RNAcentral's name for it is "lncRNA (ENSPMJG00000005692.1)". Lineage: Eukaryota; Metazoa; Chordata; Aves; Passeriformes; Paridae. The record is from RNAcentral.
AUGCAGGUCUAUCACCGUACAGGUAUAUCACUAUGCAUAUCUAUUAUCAUACAAAUUAUUAUUACUCAGCUCCCUCAGACCCACAUCCACCUGAGGGCAAAGAGCGCAUGCGCACUGCCUGAGGAGCGGCUCCCGCCCGCGCGCAGACGGGGCGCGCGGUCCGCGCACGCGCGGCUGCAGCGGGGGGACGGGGUCACAGGGCCGCGGCGUUUUGCGCCCCGCCCGGAGGGUGCGCGCGCAGGUCCGCUCUCGCUGGCCGGAAGCGCUCGCGCAGCGCAGCUUCCCCUCAGCGUUGAGGGGGGCCAGCGGAGGCGGCGCCAUCUUGGCGGAGCCGUGCCGGGAGCUGCGGGCCCCGUCCGAGCGGCGUGUCCGUUAAGUUGAUUUUACAGAAUUUAUCAGGUCUCCAAAGCAGAAACAGGUGAUUUUUGCUGUGGGUUGAGCUCAGCAUGGCUGUAGUCAUCCGUUUACAGGGGCUUCCUGUUGUUGCGGGUCCUCCAGAUAUUCGUCGUUUCUUCUUGGGAUUGAAUAUUCCUGAUGGAG